ACUUAUGAAGCUUAAAUUUAAGCAUUGGUCUUGUAAACCAAAGAUUGGGAUGCCCCAUAAGUG
This 63-nucleotide transfer RNA is filed under the name Glycinde armigera. RNAcentral's name for it is "tRNA-Thr". It matches the Rfam family "tRNA". Rfam says of the family: Transfer RNA (tRNA) molecules are approximately 80 nucleotides in length. Lineage: Eukaryota; Metazoa; Annelida; Polychaeta; Phyllodocida; Goniadidae. The record is from RNAcentral.